AAGUCGUAACAAGGUUUCCGUAGGUGAACCUGCGGAAGGAUCAUUAACACGUAUCCAACGUUAAACAACCCUGUGAACUUUAAGCCUACUCUUGCAGCCCAUGAGGAACAGCAAUCCCGGUAAAUCAUUGCCAAACAGUUUUGAUUCGGGACCUCUGUCCAAAAGGAGUUGCAAUUGAGUGGUAGAUGCAGUGGCAUGGCUUCCCCAAGCAGUUAGUGAAUGACAGUGUCACUGACUGUGUAAGGAUAACGCCUCACGAUGUCACAGGGCCACCGCGCCCCUUAAUCACUCCACUAGAAAAUGCCCCGCCUAGUGGUAACGCGCUAGGUAAAAAAAACCGAACACAAUGGAUAUCUUGGUUCUC
This 364-nucleotide unclassified non-coding RNA is filed under the name fungal sp. RNAcentral's name for it is "partial internal transcribed spacer region". The stretch from base 1 to 46 matches the Rfam family "Eukaryotic small subunit ribosomal RNA", at positions 1786 to 1831 of the family's 1831-position model. Lineage: Eukaryota; Fungi. The record is from RNAcentral.